Non-coding RNA from Morus notabilis, 89 nucleotides. The record is from Rfam. NCBI's taxonomy places the organism in Eukaryota, Viridiplantae, Streptophyta, Magnoliopsida, Rosales, Moraceae.
GAACUAUGAUGAAUUAAGCGCUGAGUGUGAUAGGUGGGGUCUAUCACAACCGUCCGAUUCUUCCGACGAAAUCAAGCGCAUCUGAGCUU